AAUCAACGCUGGCGGCGUGCCUCAGACAUGCAAGUCGAACGCGAAAGUCCCCUUCGGGGGACAAGUAGAGUGGCGCACGGGUGAGUAACACGUAGGUAAUCCACCUUCGGAUGGGGAAUAACAACCGGAAACGGUUGCUAAUACCGCAUAAUGCAGCGGCACCUAAUGGUGACAGUUGUUAAAGCGGGGAUCGAAAGACCUCGCGUCUGAAGAGGAGCCUGCGGCGGAUUAGCAGUUGGUAAGGUAACGGCUUACCAAGGCGACGAUCCGUAGCCGGCCUGAGAGGGGCGGUCGGCCACACUGACACUGACAUACGGGUCAGACUCCUACGGGAGGCAGCAGUCGGAAUUUGGGCAAUGGGCGAAAGCCUGACCCAGCAACGCCG
Molecule: ribosomal RNA, 385 nt
Filed under: uncultured bacterium
Lineage: Bacteria
Description: bacterial SSU rRNA
Rfam family: Bacterial small subunit ribosomal RNA
Source: RNAcentral